UAACAUGACCAAUUUGUUGAUCAAUUUUAUACUUUUUACUAUUUAUGCAAUUUUAUUAUUUAUCACCUGACCUAAAAACAACGUCUAGAUGUUUAAAAAAAUCAUUCAAUCAUUGUAGACUCUGACGUUUUAUCUUUGACAAAAUUGAACUACAUUACUAAGUGUUUGGAAUUUAUGAUAUUUGUUUAUAACAAUCAGAAGAGAUCCGAGUGCACCGGAACGCUAAUAACAACCAAUUUCGUCCUAACUUACUAAAAAAAAAGGCGGUUUGGUCGAACAUGAUGCCAAGUGUAAUAAGCCAGAAAACGGAUCGGACAUCUUCACAAUUGUCCUCGUGGGCAAAAUCGAAGCAAACUACACUCACUGCCACUAAAAGCCAAAAGUGGUGCGCCCGUGAGACUCGGCUCAUAAGGUUGAGCAUGGAUGUCUAGACAUAUUAUGUUAUGGGUGAAAUAGGUGGCGUAGGAUUUCGACGUUUCGUUAACGUUAAUCCACCUGAAGUAGAAGUCGCCGGAAUACUCAUCUUGUUCAAGGCUGCGGGUCAUCUCUGAGGAAUGGAUAGUCCGCUUCUAUUGUAUCCACGUAGUUAAAUUUAAGCAUAUGGAAUGCGACAGACUUCACGUUCCUUUCCUGGCUAUAAGGGUUGCUGUAUACAUCUAACACCAGUUUCCAAUUCGACCACGUCUGCGGUGUUUUGCAGUAAGUGAGGACGAACUUGGGUGUUAUUAGCGUUCCGGUGCACUCGGGUCUCUUGUGAUUGUUGUAAACAACGACCAUAAACUCUGAACACUUGGGAUUGUCGUUCAAUUUUGUCAAUGAUGAAAUCUGCACUUGUGUCAAAACUUCAAUUGCUAUAAUAAACAAAAUCAUUUUUAAUA
Long non-coding RNA from Cimex lectularius (bed bug), 878 nucleotides. RefSeq lists it as uncharacterized. NCBI's taxonomy places the organism in Eukaryota, Metazoa, Arthropoda, Insecta, Hemiptera, Cimicidae. The transcript has 3 exons. The record is from RefSeq and is a predicted model, not a curated record.